CCCUUAGAUGCUCUGGGCCGCACGCGCGCUACACUGGUCGAUGCAACGAGUUUCUUUCCUUGGCCGACAGGCCUGGGCAAUCUUUGAACAUCGAUCGUGAUCGGGAUAGAUUCUUGUAAUUUUUGAUCUUAAACGAGGAAUUCCUAGUAAACGCAAGUCAUCAGCUUGCAUUGAUUACGUCCCUGCCCUUUGUACACACCGCCCGUCGCUCCUACCGAUUGAAUGCUCAGGUGAGCCAUUCGGACUUUCAUCAUGCUGGUUUCCAGUUUUGAUGAAGGAAAGUCUUGCGAACCUUAUCAUUUAGAGGAAGGAGAAGUCGUAACA
Molecule: ribosomal RNA, 324 nt
Filed under: uncultured eukaryote
Lineage: Eukaryota
Description: partial 18S ribosomal RNA
Rfam family: Eukaryotic small subunit ribosomal RNA
Source: RNAcentral